UACGAAGGGAGCUAGCGUUGUUCGGAAUCACUGGGCGUAAAGCGCACGUAGGCGGAUUUGUCAGUCAGGGGUGAAAUCCCGGGGCUCAACCUCGGAACUGCCCUCCAAACUGCUUCGCUUGAGACCGGGAGAGGUGAGUGGAAUUCCCAGUGUAGCGGUGAAAUUCGUAGAUAUUCGGAAGAACACCAGUGGCGAAGGCGACUCACUGGACAUGUAUUGACGCUGAGGUGCGAAAGCGUGGGGAGCAAACAGG
RNAcentral lists this ribosomal RNA (253 nucleotides) under uncultured prokaryote. RNAcentral's name for it is "partial 16S ribosomal RNA". It matches the Rfam family "Bacterial small subunit ribosomal RNA", at positions 524 to 776 of the family's 1533-position model. The record is from RNAcentral.